GAAGACCUUUCAGCGGCGCUGGAAAGGCUAGAUUCCAGACGGAUCCAAAGAAGAAGCAGGAUCCCAGUUUUGACCUUCAUCGCAGCGACCCAGCAGAGAUGGCGAAAGCCGGGUCAGGGUGGCCACCGCCGUGGCAAUGGGAGAAGCGGACACACCCGGGACACAGCUCAGAGGUGGCGCCAGCCCCACUGGACACUGGGGGAGAGAUGACGAGAACAAGCAAGAACGGUGCCUGAGUCUGGGGCUCCUUCACCUCGGCCCGGUAGAGACCAUGCCUGAUGUGGGGGGGGAAACGGGGAAAGACCAGGUCCCGGCGGCAAAGAUGUCCCAUCACUGGCUGGUCCCUGGCCCACAAAAGGUGCUUGAUAGACGUUGACCUGAAUGUCCUGCCCCUGCCUUCCAGAACCCUGUGUGCAGCAGCCGUGUCCAGGGUAAGACGGGGAUUCUAAAGUGGCCCGCGGGGCCCCUACCACAGGUAGUCACUUCCCCUCAGCGGCAGGGAGCCCUUACUGUACGUCUCUAGGGAACAUUCAUCGAUCGUCUCCACGAAUAUUUUCCUCAUCGCUCUCUAGAACUUCUGUCACCGCCUGCCACCCUCACUGCCUGCUCAGCUGUCCUCCCACUGCUCGGCCUCGUUUGUUCUGUCUGCCUCCACCAUUUCUCACCACCCGCCACGUGGCUCUUCCUCAUGGACCCCAAGCUCGGGCUUCACCGCUGUCCACAGGCCUCACCAGGGCAACCGGGGCCCUCGGGGUGGCUGAACACCCCUCCAACUGGCACCCUGCCCUCGGCUCCCUGCGAGCCCAGCACUGCUCCGCAGGAGACGCACGGCACUGAGAACCUUCCAGAACAUUCACGCUGCCAGCGACCUACAACCAGCCACGCGUGGGUCGAGCUGGUGGUGAUCUUCCAAAUACAGCGUGAGCGUGUAUGCUUAACCCUAGGGCGUUGGCAGACUUGUAGCACGGGUCCAGAAGAAGGUAUUUUGACCCAUUUUUUCCAACCUCUUCUGGGAUCAGAUGAGGCAGCCCCCAGUGCGGAGGAUGGAGCGCGGGCUCUGGAGUCCCACAGAGACACGUUUGGGUCCCAGCGCCGCAUCUCCUCGUGGUGUCUUACCUGCUCCGUAAGUUCUAACACCUCCGUUUCCUCAUUUGUAAACUGAGGUCACAAGCGCCUAUCCCACAGGGCUAGUACUCGGUGACAUUUGUAUCUGUCACCUGUGAGGGCACAAUAAAUCAGCCCCAAACUCAG
Neofelis nebulosa (Clouded leopard) is the source of this 1251-nucleotide long non-coding RNA. RefSeq lists it as uncharacterized. Lineage: Eukaryota; Metazoa; Chordata; Mammalia; Carnivora; Felidae. The transcript has 2 exons. The record is from RefSeq and is a predicted model, not a curated record.